GACGAACGCUGGCGGCGUGCUUAACACAUGCAAGUCGAACGGAAAGGCCCUGCUUUUGUGGGGUGCUCGAGUGGCGAACGGGUGAGUAACACGUGAGUAACCUGCCCUUGACUUUGGGAUAACUUCAGGAAACUGGGGCUAAUACCGGAUAGGAGCUCCUGCUGCAUGGUGGGGGGUGGAAAGUUUCGGCGGUUGGGGAUGGACUCGCGGCUUAUCAGCUUGUUGGUGGGGUAGGGGCUUACCAAGGCUUUGACGGGUAGCCAGCCUGAGAGGGUGACCGGCCACCUGGGGCCUGAGAUACGGCCCAGAGUCCUACGGGAGGCAGCGGUGGGGAAUCUUGCACAGUGGGCGCAAGCCUGAUGCAGCAACGCCGCGGGCGGGAUGACGGCCUUCGGGUUGUGAACAGCUUUCGCCUGUGACGAAGCGUGAGUGACGGUAAUGGGUAAAGAAGCACCGGCUAACUACGUG
This 468-nucleotide ribosomal RNA is filed under the name uncultured bacterium. Its description in RNAcentral is "partial 16S ribosomal RNA". It matches the Rfam family "Bacterial small subunit ribosomal RNA", at positions 28 to 507 of the family's 1533-position model. The record is from RNAcentral.